GCCGGCCUGAGAGGGCGACCGGCCACACUGGGACUGAGACACGGCCAGACUCCUACGGGAGGCAGCAGUGGGGAAUAUUGGGCAAUGGGCGAAAGCCUGACGCAGCAACGCCGCGUGAGGGAUGACGGCCUUCGGGUUGUAAACCUCUUUCAGCAGGGAAGAAGCGAAAGUGACGGUACCUGCAGAAGAAGCACCGGCUAACUACGUGCCAGCAGCCGCGGUAAUACGUAGGGUGCAAGCGUUGUCCGGAUUUAUUGGGCGUAAAGAGCUCGUAGGCGGUUAGUCACGUCGGAUGUGAAAACUCGGAGCUUAACUCUGAACCUGCAUUCGAUACGGGCUGACUAGAGUGUUGUAGGGGAGACUGGAAUU
Molecule: ribosomal RNA, 369 nt
Filed under: uncultured bacterium
Lineage: Bacteria
Description: bacterial SSU rRNA
Rfam family: Bacterial small subunit ribosomal RNA
Source: RNAcentral